Molecule: ribosomal RNA, 302 nt
Filed under: uncultured Leptolinea sp.
Lineage: Bacteria; Bacillati; Chloroflexota; Anaerolineae; Anaerolineales; Anaerolineaceae
Description: bacterial SSU rRNA
Rfam family: Bacterial small subunit ribosomal RNA
Source: RNAcentral
AUGUUCGGUUAAGUCCGCUAACGAGCGCAACCCUCGCUGUGUGUUAUAUGUGUCACACGGGACUGCCGGGUCUUAAGCCCGGGAGGAAGGUGGGGGAUGAUGUCAAGUCAGCAUGGCCUUUAUAUCCUGGGCUACACACACGCUACAAUGGCCAGCACAGUAGGUUGCUAAGCCGCGAGGUGGAGCCAAUCCAUAAAGCUGGUCUCAGUUCAGAUUGCAGGCUGCAACCCGCCUGCAUGAAGAUGGAGUUGCUAGUAACCGCAGGUCAGCUAUACUGCGGUGAAUACCGGUUCCCGGGGCUU